This 253-nucleotide ribosomal RNA is filed under the name uncultured bacterium. Its description in RNAcentral is "partial 16S ribosomal RNA". It matches the Rfam family "Bacterial small subunit ribosomal RNA", at positions 524 to 776 of the family's 1533-position model. The record is from RNAcentral.
UACGAAGAGGGCUAGCGUUGUUCGGAAUCACUGGGCGUAAAGCGCGCGUAGGCGGAUCACUAAGUCAGGGGUGAAAUCCCGAGGCUUAACCUCGGAACUGCCUUUGAUACUGGAGAUCUGGAGAUCGGGAGAGGUUGGUGGAAUUCCGAGUGUAGAGGUGAAAUUCGUAGAUAUUCGGAGGAACACCAGAAGCGAAGGCGGCCAACUGGCCCGAUACUGACGCUGAGGCGCGAAAGCGUGGGGAGCAAACAGG